Molecule: long non-coding RNA, 1228 nt
Filed under: Neogobius melanostomus (round goby)
Lineage: Eukaryota; Metazoa; Chordata; Actinopteri; Gobiiformes; Gobiidae
Description: lncRNA (ENSNMLG00000012555.1)
Source: RNAcentral
GCUAACUGAAAAUGUGUACCUACGAGGCACUGGAAAAAGGCUGAAAUAAAAGAACUAAAAGGACAACACGGACUAAGUUAUUCCUUGUUAGCCAGGCACAACAUGGUGUCAGAGUGACCAACUACACCGCGGACCCACACUUUUGAAAAAAAAGAAAAAAAAAGAAGAGAAAAUGGAGGCUUAUGGAGUGCCUGCCCCGAAAAUGGACUGGGACUCCAGCAACUUGCCCGACGCAUGGCGCCGCUUCAAACAACAUGUGGAACUCAUGUUUACAGGACCACUCAAAAAUAGGUCGGAGGAACAAAAAUGCAGUUUCCUAUUGUUGUGGAUCGGGGAUAAAGGACGAGAUAUCAGUAAUACAUGGACUCUCACUGAGGACCAAGCCAAGGAGCUGGAAACGUAUUACAACGGCUUCUCAACAUACCUCACCCCGAAAGCUAACCCCAUUUUCGCCAGAUACAAGUUUCACGAGAAAACGCAAGGCAGCGGUGAGUCAUUUGAGCAUUUCGUCACAGAGCUAAAACUCCUUGUCAAAGACUGUGGCUACGAUAAAAGCGAUGAAAUGGUCCGUGAUCGUAUAGUUUUCGCGACCAACUCCCCGCACGUGAGAGAAAAGCUUCUCAGCCAAGGACCGGAGCUAACGCUAGAGAAAGCCAUAGACAUAGCCCGUUCCUAUGAGCUAGCUAAAUCACAGCUUAAAGCCAUGGCUAACGACAACCACGAAGUACAUGCAGUACGUCGCAGAAGCGGGAAACAAGCCAUCCCAAUGCGAACAAACAAGACAAAUGACAAGGCUUGUACGGCAUGCGGAGGAAAGCAUGACAAGCGAACGGAGUGUCCAGCGAAAGGCAAACAGUGUUUGAAAUGCAGAAAGUUUAACCACUUUGCAAAAGUGUGCAGAUCAAAUCCCAAUAGUCAGAGGAAAACAGGGCACAGGGAGGUGCACACUGUCCAAGAGACUACUGAUUCUGAUCCCGAGCUGUUCAUAGACACUAUAGCAGCAGGUGAGGACAACGAAGACAGUGCAUUUGCUGAUAUACAGCUAGGCCCAGACAAGGUAAAAAUAACCUUCAAGUUAGACACUGGAGCACAAGCAAAUAUUAUACCAGCAGAAGUUUUCACAAAGCUUAACACAUCAUUAAAGAAAGACAAAGACAAGCUGUUUGGAUACGGAGGACACCCACUAAAAGUCAAAGGCCACUGUGAACUAGUGAGCAGAUACAAGGAC